Molecule: ribosomal RNA, 1382 nt
Filed under: Salmonella enterica subsp. enterica serovar Infantis
Lineage: Bacteria; Pseudomonadati; Pseudomonadota; Gammaproteobacteria; Enterobacterales; Enterobacteriaceae
Description: partial 23S ribosomal RNA
Rfam family: Bacterial large subunit ribosomal RNA
Source: RNAcentral
AAUCCAUAGGUUAAUGAGGCGAACCGGGGGAACUGAAACAUCUAAGUACCCCGAGGAAAAGAAAUCAACCGAGAUUCCCCCAGUAGCGGCGAGCGAACGGGGAGGAGCCCAGAGCCUGAAUCAGCAUGUGUGUUAGUGGAAGCGUCUGGAAAGGCGCGCGAUACAGGGUGACAGCCCCGUACACAAAAGCGCAUGUGCUGUGAGCUCGAUGAGUAGGGCGGGACACGUGGUAUCCUGUCUGAAUAUGGGGGGACCAUCCUCCAAGGCUAAAUACUCCUGACUGACCGAUAGUGAACCAGUACCGUGAGGGAAAGGCGAAAAGAACCCCGGCGAGGGGAGUGAAAAAGAACCUGAAACCGUGUACGUACAAGCAGUGGGAGCACAGGUUUACCUGUGUGACUGCGUACCUUUUGUAUAAUGGGUCAGCGACUUAUAUUCUGUAGCAAGGUUAACCGAAUAGGGGAGCCGGAGGGAAACCGAGUCUUAAUUGGGCGUUAAGUUGCAGGGUAUAGACCCGAAACCCGGUGAUCUAGCCAUGGGCAGGUUGAAGGUUGGGUAACACUAACUGGAGGACCGAACCGACUAAUGUUGAAAAAUUAGCGGAUGACCUGUGGCUGGGGGUGAAAGGCCAAUCAAACCGGGAGAUAGCUGGUUCUCCCCGAAAGCUAUUUAGGUAGCGCCUCGUGAAUUCAUCUCCGGGGGUAGAGCACUGUUUCGGCUAGGGGGCCAUCCCGGCUUACCAACCCGAUGCAAACUGCGAAUACCGGAGAAUGUUAUCACGGGAGACACACGGCGGGUGCUAACGUCCGUCGUGAAGAGGGAAACAACCCAGACCGCCAGCUAAGGUCCCAAAGUCAUGGUUAAGUGGGAAACGAUGUGGGAAGGCCCAGACAGCCAGGAUGUUGGCUUAGAAGCAGCCAUCAUUUAAAGAAAGCGUAAUAGCUCACUGGUCGAGUCGGCCUGCGCGGAAGAUGUAACGGGGCUAAACCAUGCACCGAAGCUGCGGCAGCGAACGUAUCACUUAAAGCGAUUCAGCGGGUUACGAUUGACGGAGCGAAGCGACGUCAAAGCGUAUACAAAGUCGAGUCGGUUUAAGGAUACGUUCGUUGGGUAGGGGAGCGUUCUGUAAGCCUGUGAAGGUGUGUCGUGAGGCAUGCUGGAGGUAUCAGAAGUGCGAAUGCUGACAUAAGUAACGAUAAAGCGGGUGAAAAGCCCGCUCGCCGGAAGACCAAGGGUUCCUGUCCAACGUUAAUCGGGGCAGGGUGAGUCGACCCCUAAGGCGAGGCCGAAAGGCGUAGUCGAUGGGAAACGGGUUAAUAUUCCCGUACUUGGUGUUACUGCGAAGGGGGGACGGAGAAGGCUAUGUUGGCCGGGCGACGGUU